Centruroides sculpturatus (bark scorpion) is the source of this 596-nucleotide long non-coding RNA. RefSeq lists it as uncharacterized. Lineage: Eukaryota; Metazoa; Arthropoda; Arachnida; Scorpiones; Buthidae. The record is from RefSeq and is a predicted model, not a curated record. The transcript is spliced from 3 exons.
ACCCGAACAUCGGCGCAAUCGUCUAAAGAAACCUACUCUACUACCGACAAGACCUCUUCAGACCUCUACCUCUCAUUCACGGAACUCGUUUGUGACUUGGUCGCCGUAUCAACGCAGCAUACAGAAAUUGCGAUGUCGUCUUUAAGAUUCAUUGGUAUCUUUUUAUUUCUGAUAAAUUUGGAAUACUUUGUAUUUGGCCAAAGAGAAAUUCGUUUUGUUCCAACACUUAAUGGCAAACCGUUCAAAUGUGUUUUUUGGACUGAGAUGAUACGUCAUAAUUGCAAACGUCUGUGUAUGAAGCAUUUUCCUGCACACGGAGGUGGAUGUACCUUGUUUAAAUGUUAUUGCUUAAUAUGUGAAGAUUAAAUUUAUCUUUUUCUCACUUAAGAAAAUAUGGAUUUACAGCUUCAAACCUUCAUGAUUUUUAACGCUGUCUCAAUGUUGAAAAUUUUAAAUAUAAAAGUUUAUUUUAUAAUAGUAUUGUGAACUAAAUUUACUAGUCAAACGAAUUAAGUUCAUCGAUUAUGUUGAUUUAUGGUAUAUAGUUUGAAUUACGUGAAGAAAUGUAUUACAAAUAAAAUUUUGUAACUACUUAA